RNAcentral lists this ribosomal RNA (478 nucleotides) under uncultured bacterium. Its description in RNAcentral is "partial 16S ribosomal RNA". It matches the Rfam family "Bacterial small subunit ribosomal RNA", at positions 28 to 523 of the family's 1533-position model. The record is from RNAcentral.
GACGAACGCUGGCGGCGUGCUUAACACAUGCAAGUCGAACGGUAAGGCCCUUCGGGGUACACGAGUGGCGAACGGGUGAGUAACACGUGGGUGAUCUGCCCUGCACUUCGGGAUAAGCCUGGGGAACUGGGUCUAAUACCGGAUAGGACCCUGGGAUGCAUGUCCUGGGGUGGAAAGCUUUUGCGGUGUGGGAUGGGCCCGCGGCCUAUCAGCUUGUUGGUGGGGUGAUGGCCUACCAAGGCGACGACGGGUAGCCGGCCUGAGAGGGUGACCGGCCACACUGGGACUGAGAUAUGGCCCAGACUCCUACGGGAGGCAGCAGUGGGGAAUAUUGCACAAUGGGCGCAAGCCUGAUGCAGCGACGCCGCGUGAGGGAUGACGGCCUUCGGGUUGUAAACCUCUUUCAGCACCGACGAAGCGCAAGUGACGGUAGGUGCAGAAGAAGGACCGGCCAACUACGUGCCAGCCGCCGCGGUAA